Molecule: ribosomal RNA, 2399 nt
Filed under: metagenome
Description: bacterial LSU rRNA
Rfam family: Bacterial large subunit ribosomal RNA
Source: RNAcentral
GAUAAGUUCCGGUAAGGUGCCUAAAAACCUUUGACCCGGAAAUUUCCGAAUGGGGCAACCCAUCUGAUUUAUCAGAUUUAAGAGAAAACCCGCCGAACUGAAACAUCUAAGUAAGCGGAGGAAAAGAAAAUAACAAUGAUUCCCUAAGUAGUGGCGAGCGAACAGGGAAUAGCCCAAACCUAUCAUGUUACGGCAUGAUAGGGGUUGUAGGACUACAAUGUGAAUAUAUUUGCUAAGAAGAAGCUUUUGGAAAGUUGAACCAUAGAGGGUGAUAGUCCCGUAUUCGUAAACAAAUAUAUUUUAGUAGGAUCCUGAGUACCACGGAGUCGGUGAAGCUUUGUGGGAAUCUGCCAGCACCAUCUGGUAAGGCUAAAUACUCCUGAGAGACCGAUAGUGAACUAGUACUGCGAAGGAAAGGUGAAAAGUAUCUCGAAUAGAGAGGUGAAAAGAACCUGAAACCGUACGCCUACAAGCGGUCGGAGCCCUAAUUUAUUGGGGUGACGGCGUGCCUUUUGCAUAAUGAGCCUACGAGUUACUCCUCACUGGCAAGGUUAACCACGGUUACGUGGGCAGCCGAAGCGAAAGCGAGUCUUAACAGGGCGCAUAGUCAGUGGGGGUAGACGCGAAACUUUGUGAUCUACCCUUGGCCAGGAUGAAGUUCAGGUAACACUGAAUGGAGGUCCGAACCGGUAAACGUUGAAAAGUUUUCGGAUGAGUUGAGGGUAGGGGUGAAAGGCCUAUCAAACUGAGAGAUAGCUCGUACUCCCCGAAAUGUUUUUAGGAACAGCGUCGAUCGUACAAUAUUAGAGGUAGAGCUACUAAUUGGGUAAGGGGAUGUCAAAGUCUACCGAACUCAAAUAAACUCCGAAUGCUAAUAUUUAAUUAAUCGGCAGUGAGGGCAUGGGUGCUAAGGUCCGUGCCCGAGAGGGAAACAACCCAGACUAACAGCUAAGGUCCCAAAGUAUACACUAAGUUGAUCAAAUGUGGUCCAGUCGCCCAGACAGCCAGGAUGUUUGCUUGGAAGCAGCAAUUCAUUUAAAGAGUGCGUAACAGCUCACUGGUCGAGCGACAGGGCAUAAACAAUAAACGGGCAUUAAGUGUAUCACCGAAGCUCUAGAUGCGCGCAAGCGUAUGGUAGGGGAGCAUUCUAGCAAGCUGUGAAGAAGUACCGUAAGGACUAUUGGAGCGACUAGAAAAGCAAAUGUUGGCAUAAGUAACGAUAAUGGAAGUGAAAAACUUCCACUCCGUAAAUCUAAGGUUUCCUGAUCAAUGAUAAUCAGAUCAGGGUUAGUCGGGACCUAAGGCGAACCGUUUCAGGGAAGUCGAUGGACAACAGGUUAAUAUUCCUGUACUAGCUGAGAGGGACGGAUAGAUGUAGUCAGUACGUACAGACAGAUGUACGUUGAGCCUACUCCUCGGAGGAAGCGAACUGGUGAGUUCUAUCCCUAGAAAAGCUCCAGCAUAAACCCGUACCGUAAACCGACACAGGUGGAUGAGGAGAGUAUCCUAAGGAGCUCGAGUGAGUCAUGGUUAAGGAAUUAGGCAAAUUUACCCUGUAACUUCGGGAGAAAGGGUGCCCCGAGCAAUCGAGGCCGCAGUGAAAAGGCCCAGGCGACUGUUUAUCAAAAACACAUGGCUCUGCUAAAUCGAAAGAUGAUGUAUAGGGUCUGACACCUGCCCGGUGCCGGAAGGUUAAGAGGGGAUGUCAGCGCAAGCGAAGCAUUGAAUCGAAGCCCCGGUAAACGGCGGCCGUAACUAUAACGGUCCUAAGGUAGCGAAAUUCCUUGUCGGGUAAGUUCCGACCUGCACGAAUGGUGUAACGAUCUGGGCACUGUCUCAACCAUGAGCUCGGUGAAAUUGUAGUCUCGGUGAAGAUGCCGAGUACCCGCAACGGGACGGAAAGACCCCGUGCACCUUUACUAUAGCUUUGCAUUGGGUUUGGAUAAUUGAUGUGUAGAAUAGGUGGGAGGCUUUGAAGCAAUGUCGCUAGAUGUUGUGGAGCCAACGUUGAAAUACCACCCUUCAAUUAUUUGGAUCCUAACUCCGCAAUGCGGAAAACAGUGUAUGGUGGGUAGUUUGACUGGGGUGGUCGCCUCCAAAAGAGUAUCGGAGGCUUCCAAAGGUACACUCAGCACGCUUGGUAACCGUGCGUAGAGUGCAAUAGCAUAAGUGUGCUUGACUGUGAGACCUACAAGUCGAGCAGGAACGAAAGUUGGGUAUAGUGAUCCGGCGGUUCUGUAUGGAAAGGCCGUCGCUCAUAGGAUAAAAGGUACGCCGGGGAUAACAGGCUGAUUUUGCCCAAGAGCUCAUAUCGACGGCAAAGUUUGGCACCUCGAUGUCGGCUCGUCACAUCCUGGGGCUGGAGAAGGUCCCAAGGGUUGGGCUGUUCGCCCAUUAAA